RNAcentral lists this ribosomal RNA (1407 nucleotides) under uncultured bacterium. RNAcentral's name for it is "bacterial SSU rRNA". It matches the Rfam family "Bacterial small subunit ribosomal RNA". The record is from RNAcentral.
AGAGUUUGAUUCGGGCUCAGGACGAACGCUGGCGGCGUGCCUAAUACAUGCAAGUCGAGCGAAUCUGAGGGAGCUUGCUCCCAAAGAUUAGCGGCGGACGGGUGAGUAACACGUGGGCAACCUGCCUGUAAGACUGGGAUAACUUCGGGAAACCGGAGCUAAUACCGGAUAAUCCUUUUCUACUCAUGUAGAAAAGCUGAAAGAUGGCUCCGGCUAUCACUUACAGAUGGGCCCGCGGCGCAUUAGCUAGUUGGUGAGGUAACGGCUCACCAAGGCGACGAUGCGUAGCCGACCUGAGAGGGUGAUCGGCCACACUGGGACUGAGACACGGCCCAGACUCCUACGGGAGGCAGCAGUAGGGAAUCUUCCGCAAUGGACGAAAGUCUGACGGAGCAACGCCGCGUGAGUGAUGAAGGUUUUCGGAUCGUAAAACUCUGUUGUUAGGGAAGAACAAGUACCGUUCGAAUAGGGCGGUACCUUGACGGUACCUAACCAGAAAGCCACGGCUAACUACGUGCCAGCAGCCGCGGUAAUACGUAGGUGGCAAGCGUUGUCCGGAAUUAUUGGGCGUAAAGCGCGCGCAGGUGGUUUCUUAAGUCUGAUGUGAAAGCCCCCGGCUCAACCGGGGAGGGUCAUGAAACUGGGAGACUUGAGUGCAGAAGAGAAAGUGGAAUUCCAAGUGUAGCGGUGAAAUGCGUAGAGAUUUGGAGGAACACCAGUGGCGAAGGCGACUUUCUGGUCUGUAACUGACACUGAGGCGCGAAAGCGUGGGGAGCGAACAGGUUUAGAUACCCUGGUAGUCCACGCCGUAAACGAUGAGUGCUAAGUGUUAGAGGGUUUCCGCCCUUUAGUGCUGCAGCAAACGCAUUAAGCACUCCGCCUGGGGAGUACGGCCGCAAGGCUGAAACUCAAAGGAAUUGACGGGGGCCCGCACAAGCGGUGGAGCAUGUGGUUUAAUUCGAAGCAACGCGAAGAACCUUACCAGGUCUUGACAUCCUCUGACAAUCCUAGAGAUAGGACGUUCCCCUUCGGGGGACAGAGUGACAGGUGGUGCAUGGUUGUCGUCAGCUCGUGUCGUGAGAUGUUGGGUUAAGUCCCGCAACGAGCGCAACCCUUGAUCUUAGUUGCCAGCAUUCAGUUGGGCACUCUAAGGUGACUGCCGGUGACAAACCGGAGGAAGGUGGGGAUGACGUCAAAUCAUCAUGCCCCUUAUGACCUGGGCUACACACGUGCUACAAUGGAUGGUACAAAGGGCUGCAAGACCGCGAGGUUUAGCCAAUCCCAUAAAACCAUUCUCAGUUCGGAUUGCAGGCUGCAACUCGCCUGCAUGAAGCCGGAAUCGCUAGUAAUCGCGGAUCAGCAUGCCGCGGUGAAUACGUUCCCGGGCCUUGUACACACCGCCCGUCA